RNAcentral lists this ribosomal RNA (253 nucleotides) under uncultured bacterium. RNAcentral describes it as "partial 16S ribosomal RNA". It matches the Rfam family "Bacterial small subunit ribosomal RNA", at positions 524 to 776 of the family's 1533-position model. The record is from RNAcentral.
UACGUAGGCAGCGAGCGUUGUUCGGAGUUACUGGGCGUAAAGGGUGUGUAGGCGGUUUUCUAAGUUUGGUGUGAAAUCUCCCGGCUCAACCGGGAGGGUGCGCCGAAAACUGGGAGACUAGAGUGCGGGAUGGGAGAGUAGAAUUCCUGGUGUAGCGGUGAAAUGCGUAGAUAUCAGGAGGAAUACCGGUGGUGUAGCCGGCUCUCUGGACCGCCACUGACGCUGAGACACGAAAGCGUGGGUAGCAAACAGA